AUUACAUUGCUGAUGGCACGUCUUAUAUUUGGUUCCGUAUUUUUCCGGUGGAGUGCGUCUGUGUGUUUGUAUGUCGUGUCCUUGAGUAAAUGUGAGGUAUCUAGCCACGGGAUGCAGUUUAGCUGAGUUUUCCCAUAAUUUUAGACUUGGAAAGACUACUGUCAGAACAAUAAUACGACAGGUUUGUUCUGCCAUAUGGACCAAGGUGAAAGAAGUGUGUUUACGGGAACCUACAGAGGAGGAAUGGAAAAAUAUUGAGGAAACGUUCCAAAAACAAAUAUAGGUGCUGUUGACGGGAAACAUAUCAGAGUGAAUCGGCCACCUCACAGCGGAUUAUUGUAUUUUAACUACAAGAGAUAUUUUUCUAUUGUGUUCCUUGCAGAUUACAAGUUCAUCAGAAUUGAUGUUGGAUUCCGCUAUUUAUCACAAACUUAUAAACAAGGAACUGCAAAUCCCAGAUAAGUGUCCAAUAUCUACAACUAAUACUACGCCUACGCCUUGGUGACGAGGCAUUUCCUCUCUCGGAAAACCUGAUGCGUCCUUAUCCCGGCAACAAUUUAAGCCUCGAGAAGGAAAUCUUCAACUAUAGGCUAAGCCGAGCUCGAAGGGCAUUUUCCAUCGCCCAUUGGACGUAAAUAUUGAUGUUGCAAUCGAUAUCGUGAAGGCAUGUUGUGUUUUACAUGACUUUGUUAGCACCAGAGAUGGCAUCGGAUAUGAAGACACUUUGCGUUCUUUUCCAACAUCACAUGAGACGUCACGAGAUCACACAAGAAAUACAAGACGUCCAGUAUCUUGUCGAGAUAUGUUUACGCAGUGAAGGCCAGGUCCCAUGGCAAAACAAAUGCAUUUAACUAAUUUACAUGUAGAAAUCCACGUACAUAUACACCUGAAAAUACAUAUAUAAAUAGUUUGUAACUACUUA
Zootermopsis nevadensis is the source of this 922-nucleotide long non-coding RNA. RefSeq lists it as uncharacterized. Lineage: Eukaryota; Metazoa; Arthropoda; Insecta; Blattodea; Termopsidae. The record is from RefSeq and is a predicted model, not a curated record.